Molecule: unclassified non-coding RNA, 391 nt
Filed under: soil metagenome
Description: partial contains 5.8S ribosomal RNA, internal transcribed spacer 2, and large subunit ribosomal RNA
Rfam family: 5.8S ribosomal RNA (bases 1-122)
Source: RNAcentral
GAUGAAGAACGCAGCGAAAUGCGAUACUUGGUGUGAAUUGCAGAAUCCCGUGAACCAUCGAGUCUUUGAACGCAAGUUGCGCCCGAAGCCAUUAGGCCGAGGGCACGCCUGCCUGGGCGUCACACGUCGUUGCCCCCCCAUCUACUCCUUCGGGAUUGCGGGGGGCGGAUGAUGGCCUCCCGUGCGCCUCGCCGAGCGGUUGGCAUAAAUGCCAAGUCCUCGGCGACGCACGCCACGACAAUCGGUGGUUGCGAAACCUCGGUUGCCCGUCGUGUGCGGUCGUCGCGCAUCGAGGGCUCGAAAAAAUUGCCGGGUUCCGGCUCGGCUUUCAACGCGACCCCAGGUCAGGCGGGGUUACCCGCUGAAUUUAAGCAUAUCAAUAAGCGGAGGA